GUGCCAGCCGCCGCGGUAAUACCGGCAGCCCGAGUGAUGGCCGAUCUUAUUGGGCCUAAAGCGUCCGUAGCUGGCUGCGCAAGUCCGUCGGGAAAUCGACGCGCUCAACGCGUCGGCGUCCGGUGGAAACUACACAGCUUGGGGCCGAGAGACUUGACGGGUACGUCCGGGGUAGGAGUGAAAUCCCGUAAUCCUGGACGGACCACCGAUGGGGAAACCACGUCAAGAGACCGGACCCGACGGUGAGGGACGAAAGCCAGGGUCUCGAACCGGAUUAGAUACCCCUGUAGUCC
Molecule: ribosomal RNA, 293 nt
Filed under: uncultured bacterium
Lineage: Bacteria
Description: partial 16S ribosomal RNA
Rfam family: Archaeal small subunit ribosomal RNA
Source: RNAcentral